ACGGGAGGCAGCAGUGGGGAAUAUUGGUCAAUGGACGGAAGUCUGAACCAGCCAUGCCGCGUGAAGGAAUAAGGCCCUAUGGGUCGUAAACUUCUUUUGACGGGGAGCAAUAAGGCGUACGUGUACGCCGAUGAGAGUACUCGUCGAAUAAGCAUCGGCUAACUCCGUGCCAGCAGCCGCGGUAAUACGGAGGAUGCAAGCGUUAUCCGGAUUUACUGGGUGUAAAGGGCGUGUAGGCGGAGCUGCAAGUCAGAUGUGAAAUCCCGGGGCUCAACCCCGGAACUGCAUUUGAAACUGUAGCCCUUGAGUAUCGGAGAGGCAAGCGGAAUUCCUAGUGUAGCGGUGAAAUGCGUAGAUAUUAGGAGGAACACCAGUGGCGAAGGCGGCUUGCUGGACGACAACUGACGCUGAGGCGCGAAAGCGUGGGGAGCAAACAGGAUUAGAUACCCUGGUA
RNAcentral lists this ribosomal RNA (454 nucleotides) under uncultured Pseudoflavonifractor sp. RNAcentral's name for it is "partial 16S ribosomal RNA". It matches the Rfam family "Bacterial small subunit ribosomal RNA", at positions 341 to 792 of the family's 1533-position model. Lineage: Bacteria; Bacillati; Bacillota; Clostridia; Eubacteriales; Oscillospiraceae. The record is from RNAcentral.